RNAcentral lists this ribosomal RNA (479 nucleotides) under uncultured bacterium. Its description in RNAcentral is "bacterial SSU rRNA". It matches the Rfam family "Bacterial small subunit ribosomal RNA", at positions 29 to 506 of the family's 1533-position model. The record is from RNAcentral.
UUGAACGCUGGCGGCAUGCCUUACACAUGCAAGUCGAACGCGAAAGGGGGCAACCCUGAGUAGAGUGGCGAACGGGUGAGUAAUGCAUCGGAACGUGUCCUGUAGCGGGGGACAACCCCGAGAAAUCGGGGCUAAUACCGCAUAUUCUGUGAGCAGGAAAGAGGGGGAUCGCAAGACCUCUCGCUUCCUGAGCGGCCGAUGUCGGAUUAGCUAGUUGGCGGGGUAAAGGCCCACCAAGGCGACGAUCCGUAGCGGGUCUGAGAGGAUGAUCCGCCACACUGGGACUGAGACACGGCCCAGACUCCUACGGGAGGCAGCAGUGGGGAAUUGUGGACAAUGGGCGCAAGCCUGAUCCAGCCAUGCCGCGUGAGUGAAGAAGGCCUUCGGGUUGUAAAGCUCUUUCGGCGGGGAAGAAAUCGCGCUUUCUAAUACAGAGCGUGGAUGACGGUACCCGAAUAAGAAGCACCGGCUAACUACGU